RNAcentral lists this ribosomal RNA (253 nucleotides) under Acidobacterium sp. RNAcentral's name for it is "partial 16S ribosomal RNA". It matches the Rfam family "Bacterial small subunit ribosomal RNA", at positions 524 to 776 of the family's 1533-position model. The record is from RNAcentral. RNAcentral also lists the same sequence under 1 other name. Lineage: Bacteria; Pseudomonadati; Acidobacteriota; Terriglobia; Terriglobales; Acidobacteriaceae.
UACGGGGGGGGCAAGCGUUGUUCGGAAUUACUGGGCGUAAAGGGCUCGUAGGCGGCUCGCUAAGUCAGACGUGAAAGCCCUCGGCUCAACCGGGGAACGGCGUCUGAGACUGGCAAGCUUGAAUCCGGGAGAGGGAUGCGGAAUUCCAGGUGUAGCGGUGAAAUGCGUAGAUAUCUGGAGGAACACCGGUGGCGAAGGCGGCAUCCUGGACCGGCAUUGACGCUGAGGAGCGAAAGCCAGGGGAGCAAACGGG